AGGGUUUGAUCAUGGCUCAGAACGUACGCUGGCGGCACGCCUAACACAUGCAAGUCGAACGCAGUAGCAAUACUGAGUGGCAAACGGGUGAGUAUAAUGUGGGAAUCUGCCUUUUGGUUUGGAAUAACACGGGGAAACUUGUGCUAAUACCGGAUAAGCCCUUACGGGGAAAGUUUUAACGCCGAAAGAUGAGCCUGCACUUGAUUAGCUAGUUGGUAAGGUAAAGGCUUACCAAGGCAACGAUCAAUAGCUGUUCUUAGAGGAAGACCAGCCACAUUGGGACUGAGACACGGCCCAGACUCCUACGGGAGGCAGCAGUGGGGAAUCUUGCACAAUGGGGGAAACCCUGAUGCAGCGAUGCCGCGUGAGUGAAGAAGGCCCUUGGGUUGUAAAACUCUUUCGUCGGGGAAGAAAAUGACUGUACCCGAAUAAGAAGGUCCGGCUAACUUCGUGCCAGCAGCCGCGGUAAUACGAAGGGACCUAGCGUAGUUCGGAAUUACUGGGCUUAAAGAGCUCGUAGGUGGUUAAAAAAGUUGAUGGUGAAAUCCCAAGGCUCAACCUUGGAACUGCCAUCAAAACUUUUUAGCUAGAGUGUGAUAGAGGUAAGUGGAAUUUCUAGUGUAGAGGUGAAAUUCGUAGAUAUUAGAAAGAACACCAAAUGCGAAGGCAACUUACUGGGUCACUACUGACACUGAGGAGCGAAAGCUAGGGGAGCAAACAGGAUUAGAUACCCUGGUAGUCCUAGCUGUAAACGAUGAACACUAGGUGUCGGGGGAAUCGACCCCUUCGGUGUCGUAGCUAACGCGUUAAGUGUUCCGCCUGGGGAGUACGCACGCAAGUGUGAAACUCAAAGGAAUUGACGGGGGCCCGCACAAGCGGUGGAGUAUGUGGUUUAAUUCGAUGCAACGCGAAGAACCUUACCAGGGUUUGACAUCCUGCGAACCUCUUAGAAAUUUGAGGGUGCCUUCGGGAAUGCAGUGACAGGUGGUGCAUGGCUGUCGUCAGCUCGUGUCGUGAGAUGUUGGGUUAAGUCCCGCAACGAGCGCAACCCACGUUUUUAGUUGCCAGCAUUUAGUUGGGCACUCUAGAAAGACCGCCGGUGAUAAACCGGAGGAAGGUGUGGAUGACGUCAAGUCAUCAUGCCCCUUACACCCUGGGCUACACACGUACUACAAUGCUACGGACAAAGGGCAGCAAACUCGCGAGAGCUAGCAAAUCCCAUAAACCGUGGCUCAGUUCAGAUCGUAGGCUGCAACUCGCCUACGUGAAGUAGGAAUCGCUAGUAAUCGCAGGUCAGCAUACUGCGGUGAAUACGUUCCCGGGCCUUGUACACACCGCCCGUCACACCAUGGAAGUUGGCCAUGCCCGAAGUCGUUACUCCAACCCUUGUGGAGGAGGACGCCGAAGGUGGGGCUAAUGACUGGGGUGAAGUCAUAACAAGGUAGCCGUA
This 1450-nucleotide ribosomal RNA is filed under the name uncultured bacterium. Its description in RNAcentral is "partial 16S ribosomal RNA". It matches the Rfam family "Bacterial small subunit ribosomal RNA". The record is from RNAcentral.